GUUGCAAUAACCAAUAAUCCCUAUCAGGGAUUGAAAC
Non-coding RNA from Planktothrix serta PCC 8927, 37 nucleotides. The record is from Rfam. NCBI's taxonomy places the organism in Bacteria, Bacillati, Cyanobacteriota, Cyanophyceae, Oscillatoriales, Microcoleaceae.